GAUGAACGCUGGCGGCGUGCCUAAUACAUGCAAGUCGAGCGAACGGACGAGAAGCUUGCUUCUCUGAUGUUAGCGGCGGACGGGUGAGUAACACGUGGAUAACCUACCUAUAAGACUGGGAUAACUUCGGGAAACCGGAGCUAAUACCGGAUAAUAUUUUGAACCGCAUGGUUCAAAAGUGAAAGACGGUCUUGCUGUCACUUAUAGAUGGAUCCGCGCUGCAUUAGCUAGUUGGUAAGGUAACGGCUUACCAAGGCAACGAUGCAUAGCCGACCUGAGAGAGGGAUUGGCCACACUGGAACUGAGACACGGUCCAGACUCCUACGGGAGGCAGCAGUAGGGAACCUUCCGCAAUGGGCGAAAGCCUGACGGAGCAACGCCGCGUGAGUGAUGAAGGUCUUCGGAUCGUAAAACUCUGUUAUUAGGGAAGAACAUAUGUGUAAGUAACUGUGCACAUCUUGACGGUACCUAAUCAGAAAGCCACGGCUAACUACGUG
This 497-nucleotide ribosomal RNA is filed under the name uncultured bacterium. RNAcentral describes it as "partial 16S ribosomal RNA". It matches the Rfam family "Bacterial small subunit ribosomal RNA", at positions 28 to 507 of the family's 1533-position model. The record is from RNAcentral.